Molecule: ribosomal RNA, 429 nt
Filed under: uncultured bacterium
Lineage: Bacteria
Description: bacterial SSU rRNA
Rfam family: Bacterial small subunit ribosomal RNA
Source: RNAcentral
UGGGGAAUCUUGCGCAAUGCGCGAAAGCGUGACGCAGCAACACCGCGUGGGGGAAGACGGCCUUCGGGUUGUAAACCCCUUUCAGUUGGGACGAAGCUCGGUCGGUGAAUAGCCGGCUGGAGUGACGGUACCUUCAAAAGAAGCCCCGGCUAACUACGUGCCAGCAGCCGCGGUAAUACGUAGGGGGCAAGCGUUGUCCGGAAUUAUUGGGCGUAAAGAGCGUGUAGGCGGCUCGAUCAGUCCGCUGUGAAAGUCCAAGGCUCAACCUUGGAAUGCCGGUGGAUACUGCCGAGCUGGAGUCCGGAAGAGGCGAGUGGAACUCCUGGUGUAGCGGUGAAAUGCGCAGAUAUCAGGAAGAACACCAACGGCGAAGGCAGCUCGCUGGGACGGAACUGACGCUGAGACGCGAAAGCGAGGGGAGCAAACAGG